AUUGAACGCUGGCGGCAUGCCUUACACAUGCAAGUCGAACGGCAGCGCGGACUUCGGUCUGGCGGCGAGUGGCGAACGGGUGAGUAAUACAUCGGAACGUACCCUGUUGUGGGGGAUAACUAGUCGAAAGAUUAGCUAAUACCGCAUACGACCUGAGGGUGAAAGUGGGGGACCGCAAGGCCUCACGCAGCAGGAGCGGCCGAUGUCUGAUUAGCUAGUUGGGGGGGUAAAGGCCCAGCAAGGGGACGAUCAGUCGCUGGUCUGAGAGGACGAUAGGCCACACUGGGACUGAGACACGGACCAGAGGCCUACGGGAGGCAGCAGUGGGGAAUUUUGGACAAUGGGGGCAACCCUGAUCCAGCAAGGCCGCGUGUGUGAAGAAGGCCUUCGGGUUGUAAAGCACUUUUGUCCGGAAUGAAAUCGCGCUGGUUAAUACCUGGCGUGGAUGACGGUACCGGAAGAAUAAGCACCGGCUAACUACGUGCCAGCCGCCGCCGUAA
This 500-nucleotide ribosomal RNA is filed under the name uncultured bacterium. Its description in RNAcentral is "partial 16S ribosomal RNA". It matches the Rfam family "Bacterial small subunit ribosomal RNA", at positions 29 to 523 of the family's 1533-position model. The record is from RNAcentral.